RNAcentral lists this ribosomal RNA (424 nucleotides) under uncultured bacterium. RNAcentral's name for it is "partial 16S ribosomal RNA". It matches the Rfam family "Bacterial small subunit ribosomal RNA", at positions 359 to 775 of the family's 1533-position model. The record is from RNAcentral.
GAAUAUUGGACAAUGGGCGAAAGCCUGAUCCAGCCAUGCCGCGUGGGUGAAGAAGGCCUUCGGGUUGUAAAGCCCUUUUGUUGGGGGAGAAAUCCUGCUGGCUAAUACCCGGCGGGGCUGCCGGUACCCAACGAAUAUGCACCGGCUAACUUCGUGCCAGCAGCCGCGGUGAUACGAAGGGUGCAAGCGUUACUCGGAAGUACUGGGCGUAAAGCGGGAGGAGGUGGUGGCUUAAGUGCGUUGUGAAAGCCCUGGGCUCAACCUGGGAAUUGCAGUGGAUACUGGGUCACUAGAGUGUGGUAGAGGGUGGAGGAAUUCCCGGUGUAGCAGUGAAAUGCGUAGAGAUCGGGAGGAACACCCGUGGCGAAGGCGGCCACCUGGGCCAACACUGACACUGAGGCACGAAAGCGUGGGGAGCAAACAG